UUACUGAAAUACCCUGAAUUUCGAUCCCCCAUUCCAAACAUGAUUGUCACAAUUGUCCGUCUCCAAGACCCUCGAAACCACGACUGCCAUAAGCGUCAGAGCCCAUGUGCUUAGUUAGAGCGAAAUGUGUAUCCAAGAAAAUUCAUACUGCGAUUCGUCAGAAGGAGGUUAAUAAGUUUUAAGUUGACGAAGCAAAAAGUUUUUUCUUAUCAAGUUCAACGCUUUUUGAUCAUUGAAUGCCAAUAAAAUACAUAUUUAACUUUG
This is a long non-coding RNA of Dendroctonus ponderosae (mountain pine beetle), 264 nucleotides long. RefSeq lists it as uncharacterized. The transcript is spliced from 2 exons. NCBI's taxonomy places the organism in Eukaryota, Metazoa, Arthropoda, Insecta, Coleoptera, Curculionidae. The record is from RefSeq and is a predicted model, not a curated record.